Molecule: ribosomal RNA, 435 nt
Filed under: Triticum aestivum (bread wheat)
Lineage: Eukaryota; Viridiplantae; Streptophyta; Magnoliopsida; Poales; Poaceae
Description: partial small subunit ribosomal RNA
Source: RNAcentral
AUGGUGUGGCAGCACGGCAUCGUCCUCGCCAUGGGCCUCAAAUCCGACCACUUCGGCCCCCUCGUAGCUAAAGUGUGCGACUGCCUCCUCCGUCACGGAGCGCUGCAGCUGCCAGAGAUUGUCCGCCGUCUCAAGCUCCCGCCAGGCCAAGUGAAGAACUCUCUCCUUGUCCUCAUCCAGCACAAUUGCGUUCAGGCCUUCUCAUCGACGAGAGGCAAUAGGAUGGUGACGCUCUACCUGGCCAUCUUCGAUAAUGUCCUGCAUCGGCUGCGCUUCUCAAAGUUCAUCUCUGUUAUCCGUGCGGACAUUCCAGAGUCAGAAGCUCUUAUUGAGGGUUUGCUUCAGAAUGGUAGGCUAACAUUCGACCAACUUGUGGGACAAACAAUCUCUAAAGUGCCAGAAGGCACCAUCCGACCAGCAAGGGCAGAGAUAUGA